UGUGAUGGGUUUGUCAGUGAAGUAGGG
Molecule: non-coding RNA, 27 nt
Filed under: Rattus norvegicus (Norway rat)
Lineage: Eukaryota; Metazoa; Chordata; Mammalia; Rodentia; Muridae
Source: RNAcentral